GAGGAGAUCUUGAGAAACAGUGGUAAUUUCGCUGUAAUUGUAUGUGUGCCACUCCCCGGCCCUGAAGGGCAUGAGCAAGAAAGACUGAAAGUUGUGAAAUGUACCAGGGAAGACACUGCGGUUCUGUGGUGACGGUGAAAAUGAACGUCUCAAAAGCUGGGUGAUGGCUCAGCUGGACCCAGCAUGUUAGCAACCCGUGUUUGAACAGAAGGAAAUGAAAAAUAAAGUAGAAGGACAAGGGAAGGAAAUUGGGAUCUCUUUUCAUGGAGGCACAGAAUGAAAUGAGGUCUCACCAUAUUGCCCAGGCUGGAGUGCAGUGGCUAUUCACAGGCACGAGCACAGCAUGCUACAGUCUCAAGCCUCCCGAGUAGCUAGGACUACAGAGAAAGGGGCUCACUGUGUCACCCAGGCUGGAAUGCAGUGGCACAAUCACAGCUCCCUGCAGCCUCAAACUCCUGGGAUCAAGCAAUCCUCCCCACUGAGCCUCCGGAGUAGCUGGGACUACAGAGUUAAAGAAGACUUGAAAGAAGGGGAUGUGAGUGGCAGGAAAAUCCCCAGUGACCGGCCCUGAACCUUCUGCCAGCGCAGCUCACCUCCUCCCCAAAUGCCUCCCAAUAGGAUCUCAGCCCUAAACAAGCACAGGGCGUGGGGUGGUACAGAUGAUGAUGUAGCUGCUUCUGAGAUGCCCCUGGGCGCUGCUGGAGCUGAGCCCUGGGACUGGAAUGACUUUUGCCCGCUGCCCUCAAAAUUCCCACAGGCCACACCGCUACCACCUCUUGGGUAAAGUAGGAGGG
Homo sapiens (human) is the source of this 794-nucleotide long non-coding RNA. The record is from Ensembl. NCBI's taxonomy places the organism in Eukaryota, Metazoa, Chordata, Mammalia, Primates, Hominidae.